This 620-nucleotide ribosomal RNA is filed under the name uncultured bacterium. Its description in RNAcentral is "bacterial SSU rRNA". It matches the Rfam family "Bacterial small subunit ribosomal RNA", at positions 566 to 1191 of the family's 1533-position model. The record is from RNAcentral.
GGUGCGUAGGCGGCCUUUUAAGUCAGUGGUGAAAUCCUGCCGCUUAACGGUAGAAUUGCCAUUGAUACUGAAGGGCUUGAGUUCAGUUGAGGUAAGCGGAAUGUGUAGUGUAGCGGUGAAAUGCUUAGAUAUUACACAGAACACCAAUUGCGAAGGCAGCUUACUAAACUGACACUGACGCUGAUGCACGAAAGCGUGGGGAGCGAACAGGAUUAGAUACCCUGGUAGUCCACGCCGUAAACGAUGUUCACUCGCUGUUUGCGAUACACAGCAAGCGGCCAAGCGAAAGCAUUAAGUGAACCACCUGGGGAGUACGAUCGCAAGGUUGAAACUCAAAGGAAUUGACGGGGGCCCGCACAAGCGGAGGAACAUGUGGUUUAAUUCGAUGAUACGCGAGGAACCUUACCUGGGCUUAAAUGUAGAACGACAGGCUGUGAAAGCAGCCCUUCUUCGGACGUUUUACAAGGUGCUGCAUGGUUGUCGUCAGCUCGUGCCGUGAGGUGUCGGGUUAAGUCCCAUAACGAGCGCAACCCUUAUCGUUAGUUGCCAGCGGGUCAUGCCGGGGACUCUAGCGAGACUGCCACCGUAAGGUGUGAGGAAGGUGGGGAUGACGUCAAAUC